This 614-nucleotide long non-coding RNA is filed under the name Physcomitrium patens. Its description in RNAcentral is "long non-coding RNA (PPAT_LNC014344)". Lineage: Eukaryota; Viridiplantae; Streptophyta; Bryopsida; Funariales; Funariaceae. The record is from RNAcentral.
UUUGAUUAGGAUUUGAUUUAGGAUUAGGAUUUGGUUAGGAUUUGAUUUAGGAUUAGGAUUUGAUUAAGAUUUUAUUUGGAAUUAAGAUUUGGUUAAGAUUUUAUUUGGAAUUAAGAUUUGGUUAGGAAUUGGCUUAGGAUUAAGGAUUUGGUUUAGGAUUUGAUUUAGGAUUUAGGAUUUGAUUUAGGAUUUAAGAUUUGAUUAGGAUUUUAUUUAGGAUUAGGAUUUGGUUAGGAAUUGAUGUAGAAUUUAGGAUUUGGUGAGGAUUUGUUUUAAGAUUUAGGAUUUUAUUUGAAUUUAUUUAGGAUUUAAGAUUUAAUUAGUUUUUGGCCUAAAGUUUGAAUGAAGUCCAAUAGGAUUUCAACUAGGAUUAAAUUAAGAUUGAAUUGAGAUGUAUUUGAAAUAUUUUAGUAAUCAUUUUAAUAUUUCUUUAAGAUUUCUUAUUGUUUCUUUGUAAUUCCUUUGAGGUUUCUCUGAAUUUGAUUAAAGCUUAUUUAGCAUUGUUAGUAUUCUAUUAGAAUUAGGAUUUUCUUGUAGCAAUUUCCACUCUACCUACCACAGCCAAGUGCCUAGAGUAUUCUUAAGCAAGACUUCACGUAUUACGAUAGCAUGGC